Molecule: non-coding RNA, 317 nt
Organism: Elaeis guineensis (African oil palm)
Lineage: Eukaryota; Viridiplantae; Streptophyta; Magnoliopsida; Arecales; Arecaceae
Source: RefSeq, a predicted model, not a curated record
GAUGAUGACAAGGAACGAUGUGAAGGAUAUACUUAAGGAGCAUGAUAGUAUUGGAGAUCUGGAUAGACCUGAAGAGGAGGAGUGAGCACAAGCAAAAGUCCAAAAAUUAAUUGCUGUAUUUUGGUAUCUGUUCCACAAAGCAUCAGUUGUGGACAAUGUUCUGUCAUCGGAUGCUUGUGGAUGUUAACAUGAUUUAUGGCUUUGAGUUUUAACAUGUUAAGACAUAAUAGCAAAUUUUAAGCAGUUCUUUUUCUUUUGUUGUAACUUAAUGGCAUAUUAUUUUUGAGAAGUCAAUGCAUUGUCUUAGAAUUCAUAUA